UACGGGGGGAGCAAGCGUUGUUCGGAUUUACUGGGCGUAAAGGGCGCGUAGGCGGUCGUGACAAGUCACUUGUGAAAUCUCCGGGCUUAACUCGGAACGGUCAAGUGAUACUGUCGGACUAGAGUACAGAAGGGGCAACUGGAAUUCUCGGUGUAGCGGUGAAAUGCGUAGAUAUCGAGAGGAACACCUGCGGCGAAGGCGGCUCACUGGGGCUUUUCUGACGCUGAGGAACGAAAGCCAGGGUA
Molecule: ribosomal RNA, 245 nt
Filed under: uncultured bacterium
Lineage: Bacteria
Description: partial 16S ribosomal RNA
Rfam family: Bacterial small subunit ribosomal RNA
Source: RNAcentral